UACGGGGGGGGCAAGCGUUGUUCGGAAUUACUGGGCGUAAAGGGCGCGUAGGCGGCCUGCUAAGUCGGACGUGAAAUCCCUCGGCUCAACCGGGGAACUGCGUCCGAUACUGGUGGGCUCGAAUCCGGGAGAGGGAUGUGGAAUUCCAGGUGUAGCGGUGAAAUGCGUAGAUAUCUGGAGGAACACCGGUGGCGAAGGCGGUUCUCUGGGCCUUACCUGACGCUGAGGAGCGAAAGCGUGGGGAGCGAACAGG
Molecule: ribosomal RNA, 253 nt
Filed under: uncultured bacterium
Lineage: Bacteria
Description: partial 16S ribosomal RNA
Rfam family: Bacterial small subunit ribosomal RNA
Source: RNAcentral